Molecule: ribosomal RNA, 403 nt
Filed under: bacterium
Lineage: Bacteria
Description: partial 16S ribosomal RNA
Rfam family: Bacterial small subunit ribosomal RNA
Source: RNAcentral
UGGGGAAUAUUGCACAAUGGGGGAAACCCUGAUGCAGCGACGCCGCGUGAACGAAGAAGGUAUUCGUAUCGUAAAGUUCUGUCCUAUGGGAAGAUAAUGACAGUACCAUAGAAGAAAGCUCCGGCUAAAUACGUGCCAGCAGCCGCGGUAAUACGUAUGGAGCGAGCGUUGUCCGGAAUUAUUGGGCGUAAAGGGUACGCAGGCGGUUUAAUAAGUCGAAUGUUAAAGAUCGGGGCUCAACCCCGCAAAGCAUUGGAAACUGAUAAACUUGAGUAGUGGAGAGGAAAGUGGAAUUCCUAGGGUAGUGGUGAAAUACGUAGAUAUUAGGGGGAAUACCAGUAGCGAAGGCGACUUUCUGGACACAAACUGACGCUGAGGUACGAAAGCGUGGGGAGCAAACAGG